GGGUGUUGCUUAAUGGUAGAGCCCCAGCCUUCCAAGCUGGUUACGUGGGUUCGAUUCCCAUCACCC
RNAcentral lists this transfer RNA (66 nucleotides) under bovine gut metagenome. It matches the Rfam family "tRNA". From Rfam's summary of the family: Transfer RNA (tRNA) molecules are approximately 80 nucleotides in length. The record is from RNAcentral.